UGCAGUCGAGCGGACAGAUGGGAGCUUGCUCCCUGAUGUUAGCGGCGGACGGGUGAGUAACACGUGGGUAACCUGCCUGUAAGACUGGGAUAACUCCGGGAAACCGGGGCUAAUACCGGAUGGUUGUUUGAACCGCAUGGUUCAGACAUAAAAGGUGGCUUCGGCUACCACUUACAGAUGGACCCGCGGCGCAUUAGCUAGUUGGUGAGGUAACGGCUCACCAAGGCGACGAUGCGUAGCCGACCUGAGAGGGUGAUCGGCCACACUGGGACUGAGACACGGCCCAGACUCCUACGGGAGGCAGCAGUAGGGAAUCUUCCGCAAUGGACGAAAGUCUGACGGAGCAACGCCGCGUGAGUGAUGAAGGUUUUCGGAUCGUAAAGCUCUGUUGUUAGGGAAGAACAAGUGCCGUUCAAAUAGGGCGGCACCUUGACGGUACCUAACCAGAAAGCCACGGCUAACUACGUGCCAGCAGCCGCGGUAAUACGUAGGUGGCAAGCGUUGUCCGGAAUUAUUGGGCGUAAAGGGCUCGCAGGCGGUUUCUUAAGUCUGAUGUGAAAGCCCCCGGCUCAACCGGGGAGGGUCAUUGGAAACUGGGGAACUUGAGUGCAGAAGAGGAGAGUGGAAUUCCACGUGUAGCGGUGAAAUGCGUAGAGAUGUGGAGGAACACCAGUGGCGAAGGCGACUCUCUGGUCUGUAACUGACGCUGAGGAGCGAAAGCGUGGGGAGC
RNAcentral lists this ribosomal RNA (730 nucleotides) under Bacillus sp. (in: firmicutes). Its description in RNAcentral is "bacterial SSU rRNA". It matches the Rfam family "Bacterial small subunit ribosomal RNA", at positions 56 to 769 of the family's 1533-position model. Lineage: Bacteria; Bacillati; Bacillota; Bacilli; Caryophanales; Bacillaceae. The record is from RNAcentral.